UGGGGAAUCUUGCACAAUGGGGGCAACCCUGAUGCAGCGACGCCGCGUGAGCGAUGAAGCCCUUCGGGGCGUAAAGCUCUUUCGACCGGAACGAUAAUGACGGUACCGGGAGAAGAAGCUGCGGCUAACUACGUGCCAGCAGCCACGGUAAUACGUAGGCAGCAAGCGAUGUUCGGAGUUACUGGGCGUAAAGAGUGCGUAGGCGGUUUUCUAAGUUCGGUGUGAAAUCUCCCGGCUUAACUGGGAGGGUGCGCCGAAGGCUGGGAAGCUGGAGUGUGGGAAAGGCAGGCGGAAUUCCUGGUGCAGCGGUGAAAUGCGUAGAGAUCAGGAGGAACACUGGCGGUGUAGACGGCUUGCUAGACCAUAACUGACGCUGAGGCACGA
This 384-nucleotide ribosomal RNA is filed under the name uncultured bacterium. RNAcentral describes it as "bacterial SSU rRNA". It matches the Rfam family "Bacterial small subunit ribosomal RNA", at positions 355 to 756 of the family's 1533-position model. The record is from RNAcentral.